AAAACGACCAUAAAUCUCGGCUUAGAUCUCCGAUCUGCACAAAAUUGGACUUCACGGAAAGCUGAGACUUGGAGCUUCAAUCUAAAAGGUUAUCCGUUGCGUGGAUCCUCACGGUUCGCCGGAUAAUUGCCUCGCAAGCUGGCAGCGCGGAAUGGGAAGGAAGAGGCGGAAAAAGAGUGAGGAAGAGAGGAGAGAAUAGUCUAGGAGAGAGGAGGAGAAGCAUAAUCACGUCAUGGAGGAGGAGAGAAAUCCUGCGGAAAAGAGGAGAAGAAGAGAAGUCGCAGGGAGAGAGAUGGGAGGUUGGUGUCAUGAAAAGGA
This 318-nucleotide long non-coding RNA is filed under the name Eutrema salsugineum. RNAcentral describes it as "long non-coding RNA (ESAL_LNC000514)". The record is from RNAcentral. Lineage: Eukaryota; Viridiplantae; Streptophyta; Magnoliopsida; Brassicales; Brassicaceae.